This is a non-coding RNA of Cyanistes caeruleus (blue tit), 1779 nucleotides long. NCBI's taxonomy places the organism in Eukaryota, Metazoa, Chordata, Aves, Passeriformes, Paridae. The record is from RefSeq and is a predicted model, not a curated record.
CUUGGGGACUGGACAGACGGCACUGCUGAGGUGUCGCGAUCGGAGGAGGUGCGUGGCGGUAGCGUGACAGCGGCACGGAAAUAACUCCACGAAAGCAGAACACUCAAGACUGCAUCCAACAGGAACUCUGAAGCCUGUGCACAAAAUUAGCGAUCUUUCCCCAUCCCACCCCAUGAUCACGUUCAUGAGUCAGCGGGACAGAAGUGCUGAAGUACCUCAGUUUUACAGAUACACAACCACGUAAGACGCUGUAGAGAAGACUGACCUGAGCCUGAGGAGACCUUCUUGAAUGACCUCAUCGUCUUCUGAGGAACCUAAAAUCAGAGAGCUGGAGUCAGUACCGAGUACACUGUCCCAGAGUACCGUAUUUAAUUACCUCAUCUCCAGUUUAACGGCUCAUUAGGAGGCCGUAAAAUGCCAGGGCACUGACUCUAUGAAGUGACCUCUAAACCUACUGUUUGAGACUUACCUAGCUCAUCAGAACAACGAGAUAACCAAAGCACAAGAGAAAAAAAUGAAGUGCUGCUUUCUCCCUGCCCCACAGCACCAGUAAAAGCAUUGCCCCUUUCAUUAGUCUCUUAUGAAAGCUACACAGUUGAUGACAACCGAGGGAAAAUACACAGAUUUGCAGAAUACUGGAAGGUGGUUUUUUCCUUUAUCAAUAUUUAAUUGCAGGAGGUAACCUAAGAACUAGUGAGUUGUUUUUACUAUGCUUAAAUUGUACAUAUUAAACAAUCAAGUCAUACCUUGUGUAUGAUUUAAGAAAAGCUGAUAAAAAUAAUUCUCCAAGUUUCUUUUAUGAUCAAAAUAGUAACUUAAUGACAACUUAUGAAUAUCAACAGAAAAAUGCUUUUAGUUAUGACUGUUUAGUUUUGAGUGUUUAAGUUAUGCCAGAGCAUAAUAUAUGGUGAUAUUAAAUUCUACAUCUCAAUCUUAACAAAAUUCAUCAGUCACACAAAUACAGAUGUGUAUUGACUGAAACUUCAUGAAACAUGUACUUUUGCUCUAGCUGAAAAAGGCCUGGCUUGUUUUGUAGAAUGCCAACAAAAAUAUCACACAGAAAAAAACCGCUGCAGAUGGCAUGAAGUAUUAAGGAAAAUAUAUUGGUUUUGGUGUAUUCUUGUUACUUAGGUUGUCCAGUUUGCUUAACAAAUGAAGGAUGGAUAGGAGCAUGCACAAACUCACCUGCCACAAGCCUGUCCUCUUGUCACCCUCUACUGUCUUUUUGAAUAAUCUACGUUAACUAAUGCCCAUCAAAAGGAAAAAAAGGAAUUGCAGUAUCUACCUGUUUAGAUAUAAGCCCAGUUCUGUUUUACAGAAAUUCGAGUUUUGUCUUUUUUUCCAAUUUAAGAGAACAUCUAGACAGCUAUCCUGCUCUCUUACUAAAAAAAAAAAAAAUAAAAAAUUUGAUAUCCUACUAGGAGUGAGCAAAGUCAGAAGAAAAAUGAACAAAGACAAACAAGAACCAAUUUUCUCUAAAUUAUUUUCCCUUUCCAACGCCAGAAAUUGGUAAAGGGGGUGGUACAAUCUUUCUUUUCAGUGCAACAACACUGGCAAGCUGAUUCAGUUCCUCUUCUUUUGUAGUAACUAAGUUUUCCACUGGAAUUGUAUGGACUUUUGUCUAGGAUUAAACCUAACUCUGCUUUUACACCUUCAAGCACUGAAGUCCUAUCUCUUUUAUCUGCUUCUUUGUUCUGCCAACCUGUGGCUAUGAGGCUUUUGUGUCUUUCAGAUUUACUUGCAUUAUUUAUGCAACAUAAUGAAAUAUGCAAGCAUAGA